Molecule: ribosomal RNA, 250 nt
Filed under: uncultured prokaryote
Description: partial 16S ribosomal RNA
Rfam family: Bacterial small subunit ribosomal RNA
Source: RNAcentral
UACGAAGGGGGCUAGCGUUGUUCGGAAUUACUGGGCGUAAAGGGCGCGUAGGCGGUUUUACAAGUCAGGCGUGAAAGCCCCGGGCUUAACCUGGGAACUGCGCUUGAGACUGUGAGACUAGAGUACCGGAGAGGUGGGUGGAAUUCCCAGUGUAGAGGUGAAAUUCGUAGAUAUUGGGAAGAACACCGGUGGCGAAGGCGGCCCACUGGACGGUAACUGACGCUGAGGCGCGAAAGCGUGGGGAGCAAAC